GACGGAGGAUGCAAGCGUUAUCCGGAAUGAUUGGGCGUAAAGCGUCCGCAGGUGGCAGUUCAAGUCUGCUGUCAAAGACCGGGGCUUAACUUCGGAAAGGCAGUGGAAACUGAACAGCUAGAGUAUGGUAGGGGCAGAGGGAAUUCCUGGUGUAGCGGUGAAAUGCGUAGAUAUCAAGGAGGAACACCGAUGGCGAAGGCAGGUCUCUGGGCCGAUACUGACGCUGAGGAGCGAAAGCGUGGGGAGCGAACAGGA
This 255-nucleotide ribosomal RNA is filed under the name uncultured bacterium. Its description in RNAcentral is "partial 16S ribosomal RNA". It matches the Rfam family "Bacterial small subunit ribosomal RNA", at positions 524 to 777 of the family's 1533-position model. The record is from RNAcentral.